AAGAUGAGGUGGAUCACUGUGCACUUAGGCCCAAUGUGCACAACACAGGCCCAGCCCACCCCUGCACCUUCUCCUAUCUCUGUUCACAAGGGCGUGCUGGACGAACAGCACUCGUCCAUUGCUCGGAUGGCCGCGUGCCGAGCAUCCGCUGUCUCCCCCGCGAGGAUAAGGAUGCCACCCGAUUCCCCUCUGCCCAUGGACGAACCCUAACCCCCCCACUCCCCCCUUUCCCUCGCUCUCUCUCUUCUCCCCGUGUGAAACCGCCGCUGCCGUCGUAAUGGCCGCGACCACCGUGCUCCCCGCGCCGCGAGAAGACGCCCAGAAGGACUGCCACGGUCCACUUCGUCCAUCCCGAGGAUCGAAUUGAGCGGGGAAGGCCCGUACACUCGCCAUCUCCACCAUCUUCAUCUUGUACAUCGUCGUCGUCCGCCGUCGAUUCCCGCAGCUCCGGUCCACCCCGACCUCCCCGACCUCACCAUCGAGCUUGCUGAGCCAGAUGCCACCGUCGAUGCCUACUACUACGUGGAGACCACCGACGACCAGGAGUAGUUAGGAGGCUCCCAGGUAGGAGGCCUUGCCUUUUCGAUCGUUGUUGCUUUUGUGCUAGCCUUCUUAAGGUAAACUUGUCUAACUCAUGUAUGUAAUCAGAUAUUGUUGCUUCCGCCGACUCUUGUGUAUUCGAGCUUAUGUAUUCGAGCCCUCGAGGCCCCUGGCUUGUAAUAUAAAGCUUGUAUUAUUUUAA
Triticum urartu is the source of this 742-nucleotide non-coding RNA. The record is from RefSeq and is a predicted model, not a curated record. Lineage: Eukaryota; Viridiplantae; Streptophyta; Magnoliopsida; Poales; Poaceae.